UACGUAGGGUGCAAGCGUUAAUCGGAAUUACUGGGCGUAAAGCGUGCGCAGGCGGUUCUAGUAAGACAGAUGUGAAAUCCCCGGGCUCAACCUGGGAACUGCAUUUGUGACUGUAGAGCUGGAGUACGGCAGAGGGGGAUGGAAUUCCGCGUGUAGCAGUGAAAUGCGUAGAUAUGCGGAGGAACACCGAUGGCGAAGGCAAUCCCUGGCCUGUACUGACGCUCAUGCACGAAAGCGUGGGGAGC
This 245-nucleotide ribosomal RNA is filed under the name uncultured bacterium. RNAcentral's name for it is "partial 16S ribosomal RNA". It matches the Rfam family "Bacterial small subunit ribosomal RNA", at positions 524 to 769 of the family's 1533-position model. The record is from RNAcentral.